UACUCCUGGCUCCUGGGCUUAAAAAACAAACAAAAAAACAAAACAAAACUGAAACACCCUUAAAAUUGCUAUGCUAUUGAGAAUAAUAUUGCGUUUGGUUGUUUUCCCCUCAGAUUUGUUCGGUGAAACCUCUUCAGACCCACUCCUGUCCCCACUGGGAGUUUUUCCUAGCUUUCUCUCACUCCAGGUCACCACUGUCCUUCUGAAAGCUUGGCUGUGUCUGUGGAGCAGUGUUUAGACGUCAUGAAGACAUCCCGUCCACGGGCACAGCCAUGGGAGCAUGGCUGCAUGCAACCUUGGCACAAGGCCUGUCUCCAAACCUGGGACUUGGAGAUCCCCACCCCCAUGACUUCCAUUCCAGCUGUACUUUUUCACCAGCUCACCACACAUGCUCCAGCAUCCUAAAAAGCCCAGCCUUUUUGCCCACCCUGCUGCUUUUGCUGUUCCCAUUUGGAGGUGGCCGCAUUCUGUGUUUCUCCUCAAUAAAUUUCUGUGUGACUUUGUGGUG
This is a long non-coding RNA of Grammomys surdaster, 508 nucleotides long. RefSeq lists it as uncharacterized. The record is from RefSeq and is a predicted model, not a curated record. Lineage: Eukaryota; Metazoa; Chordata; Mammalia; Rodentia; Muridae. The transcript has 2 exons.